Molecule: ribosomal RNA, 452 nt
Filed under: uncultured Streptococcus sp.
Lineage: Bacteria; Bacillati; Bacillota; Bacilli; Lactobacillales; Streptococcaceae
Description: bacterial SSU rRNA
Rfam family: Bacterial small subunit ribosomal RNA
Source: RNAcentral
GCGGUGGAGCAUUGUUGUUUAAUUCGAAGCAACGCGAACGAACCUUACCAGGUCUUGACAUCCCGAUGCUAUUUCUAGAGAUAGAAGUUACUUCGGUACAUCGGUGACAGGUGGUGCAUGGUUGUCGUCAGCUCGUGUCGUGAGAUGUUGGGUUAAGUCCCGCAACGAGCGCAACCCCUAUUGUUAGUUGCCAUCAUUCAGUUGGGCACUCUAGCGAGACUGCCGGUAAUAAACCGGAGGAAGUGGGGAUGACGUCAAAUCAUCAUGCCCCUUAUGACCUGGGCUACACACGUGCUACAAUGGUUGGUACAACGAGUUGCGAGUCGGUGACGGCGAGCUAAUCUCUUAAAGCCAAUCUCAGUUCGGAUUGUAGGCUGCAACUCGCCUACAUGAAGUCGGAAUCGCUAGUAAUCGCGGAUCAGCACGCCGCGGUGAAUACGUUCCCGGGCCUU